RNA transcript from Girardinichthys multiradiatus, 5354 nucleotides. It is a transcript of the gene named dynein regulatory complex subunit 1 homolog (Chlamydomonas), with no coding region annotated. The transcript is spliced from 19 exons. NCBI's taxonomy places the organism in Eukaryota, Metazoa, Chordata, Actinopteri, Cyprinodontiformes, Goodeidae. The record is from RefSeq and is a predicted model, not a curated record.
UGACCGCAACACUGGCAUCCGUUUUAUAUUAUUUUCACUUUCACCCUAAAGCUUUGUCGUUAAAAAAAUAUUUUUGAAAAAUUACACCGUUAAAAAGGCAACGGUCAACGGUUCAACAUGAGCAACAUAAGCAGGUGUAGUGGAAAAAAACAGCUCGCAGUGUCUAAAUGUUUCUAUGGCAACAGCUACCAGACUAUCAAGUGUUCCUGAAGAGGAGACACCGGGAAAAAGCUCAGAAAUCGGUCAUUUCUUCAGCAAGUAAAGCUUCAAGAUGGAGGUGACAGAGGAAAGUAAAACAGUAGAAGACACAGAAAAUCAACAGAUGAAUGAUGCACUGAGAGCAGAGCAGCAGGAAGUGGAUGUAGCCUCAAUGCAGGAAGAAUGUGAUGAUUUAUUGAGACAAUGGUCGGAUCUUAUUCAGAGUGAGGAUUCUGAGGACGUGAUGGAAGCCUCCAUUGAGCAGCAGCAGAUGUAUGCUGCUAUGUUCCAAGAAUAUAUAAACACCAUAAAUUACUUCCAGCAGAGGAGGAAACGUCUGCAGAGAGAUCUGAAAACAUCAGCGACAAACACCGAAGUUGCAACUGAUGCCCAAGCGGUGUGGCAGAGGAGAGAGCGGGACAAAGCUCAAAGAAAUGGGCAAAGCUCCAAGAUGGAGGCGAACGAGGAAAGUAAAACAGGAGAACAAGAGAGAGAAAGACAGAUCAGUGUUGCACUGAGAGCAGAGCAGCAGGAAGUGGAUGUAGCCUCAAUGCAGGAAGAAUGUGAUGAUUUAUUGAGAGAAUGGUCGGAUCUUAUUCAGAGGGCGCAUUCUGAGGAUGAAAAGACAGCCCUAAUUGAGCAACAGCAGAGCUAUGCCGCCAUGUUCCAAGAAAACAUAAAUACCAUAAAUUACUCCCAGCAGGAGCUCAAGCUCAAAAAUGCUAAACAUGUUAAAACAGUGAGGAAGAAUGCAGAGGAGAUUGCUGCAUUGCAUGCCCUGAUUGAGGAGCAAGUUGAAAUUAUGACUGAAGCCUACCGAGAGGAGAUGACCCAAACCCAGAGACGUAGUCAGGAGGAAAUGAGUAUCAUGCUUACAAAGGACACGGAAGAAAUGGAUCAAGCCCUGACGAAACUUUGGGACGAAGAGCUCAAGAAUCUGAACAAGAGGAAAAAGAAACUGGAGGAAUACAAGAAGCAACUGAUCGGUCAGGAGCAUAGUCAUGCUUUCAUUGCCUUGGACUUUGCUGAAGAUUCAAAAUAUCUGAAUAAGGAGAGAGAACAGCACAGACUUAAGUUCAGCAGCUGGAAGACUGAGAUAAAAAAAAAAGUCCAGGGAGAUUUAAAAAGAUUUGUGACUUUAUUGGAAAAUAUCAGUAUCAGGAUUGCCAGGGAGGAGAAGGAAAUUAAAAAGUUGAAAAAACUCCACAAUAAUCAACUGAAAAAAUUGCAAAAGCAGAGUGUUUUGUCUGAAGAUUACAAACGCUGCCUGCAGAAGUACGAACGCAAAAAAGAACAAGUCAGGCAACUUUCUCUUGCCGAUGCUAGACAAUUUGAGCAGGUGUGGCUGAUGGUUGAAGGGGAGCUAAAGCAGUUAGCAGGGAGAGCUUUGGCCAUAGACAAAGAGAUCUCCCAGCUCGUAUUUGGUGUAUCCUGGCAGCAGCCUGAUUUGGACCUCACGGAGCUGUCCGGUCCCAUCGGGCCUUGGAUGCCAGCACCAGAGGUAAGCCAGUCAGUGUUUCAAACCAGGAAGAGUAGGCGGGGGAUAACGAAUGGUUCGGCUGAAUCUGACCUCGAGAGUCCGGAUAUGACGGUGAACAAAGAAGGGGCAGCAGUGUCCAUCUACGGCUGUCCUGAAUGGGAGGAAAGAAAACGCUCCGAGGACAAGCAGAACCAAAUGAAGGAGCUGCUGUGUAAUGAAACGGACUUCUUGAUGGCCCCCAAAGUCCUGAAGCUGCUGGCUCCUCUGAUUACUGAGGAACAGACUACUGUAAAGCUGGGCUCUCUCCUUUAUACUCUGGGUAUCGAUGAAAAGGAUUUGCCUGAGUUGACUGAUUUCUUGUUGAAGUACAUGCAGCAGCUGACUGAGCAGAAUGAGGGAGCAGUGGGCGGCUGUGCAGCACCCGGGGAUGCAUGUGAGACCAGUGUUACAAGCUCUAUGUCUGAGUUCAUCCACCCUAACCACAUACUUCCUGCUCUGAAAAGUUUCUUUGAGCAACGCUAUUCCAGGAAUAGCUCAACCGAGCAGCUUUACAAAGUGUGGCUCGCACAUGCCCGGGAUAUUUCCAAGGAUGCAGCGUAUUGGGAGAGACUAGGGAACGUCAUCCCAGAGGAGAAAGUUCAGUUGUGGGAUUCUGCUGAGAAAAUUCUUAAGCAGCACAUUGCUGUGCUGAAAGAUAUCUCUGAUCAUAUUCUGGAGAAUGAGCGCCUGAAGGAGCAGAACAUGGAGCUGCACAUGAAGCUCAACACUAUGUCUACUUAAGUUUACUAUAGUUCACCUCCAGGAGGUUAUUUUGGCUUUUGUCUGAUUGUCAGCAGGAUUAAUUGAUGUUAUCGCUGAGUCUGACUCUAGGAAUUUAAUAUUCAGCUUUGGCAGUGAUGGAGGAAGAAGGGUUUUGUUGAUCAAUGUAACACAAAUGACGAAUGAAGGCUCAAGAAGUUUCUUACCAGAAACAAAGAUGCUAUUGCCUUCCACUUUUCCACAAAUCCCCAGAAAAACAAUUAGAAUAACAUAUUUGGUUGGUCUAACAACCUGUAGCUAAUUUAUACAAUAUUAUCAUCAGUACAAUAUUUUUCAUUCAAGAAAUUAGUGAUUAAUUUUAGAACAAUGCAAUUAUACAGAAUUAUACAAAUGAUAGUUCUGAUCAAUCUUCCUUUGCCAAUGCUCUAUUUCGUUAUAAUCAUAAAAUGUGAUCUAAGCUGAGCAAAAACUUUAUAAAAGUUUAUAAAUAGUUUACUGAUCUUUCUCUCUAAAUUUAGAUAAAAGCCUUAUGACUUUCAAAAAUCUAGAAAUAAUGAUACAUUAAUUUCUUCAUUUGAUUCAUAUUGUGUAGGGGGAAAAAACUAGGACUGCACAAUAUAUAUAAAAAAUGAAUCAUUAUGGCAGACUCAGUGUGUGCAAUACUGAUUUUGUAAAGGACAGUUUCAAAGGCAAUAAUUGUUCACUAAUACAUCACCAUGCAAAAGUAUUCACCCCCAUUGGCAUUUUUCAUGUUUUGUUGCCUCACAAUCUGGAUUUAAAAUUGAUUAAGAGUUUGCAGCAUUUCAUUAACAGAAAAUGCCUACAACUUUGAAGAUUAUUAUUUUUUUAUUGUGAGGCAAACAACAUAUAGGACAAAAUAACAGAAAAUGUCAGCAUGCAUAACUGUCCACUCCUAACGUCAGUGCUUUGUAGAGCCACAUUUUGCAGCAAUUACAGCUGCAUGUCUGUUUGGAUAAGCCUCUUCAAGCUUGCCACAUCUUGCCUCUGGGAUUUUUGCCCAUUCCUCAAGGCAAAGCUGCUCAAGCUCCUUCAUGCCGGAUGGUUUUUGCUUGUGUUCAGCGAUCUUCGAGUUUAACCACAGAUUCUCAAGUGGAUUGAGGUUUGAACUUUGACUAGGCCAUUUCAACACAUUUAAAUUUCCCUUAAACCACUCAAGUGUUGCUUCAGCAGUAGGCUUUGGGUCAUUGUCCUGCUGGAAGGUGAACCUUUGUCCCAGUCUCAAAUCAUAGGCAGACUGAAAGGUUUUGUUCAGGAACAUCCCUGUAUUUAGCACCAACCAUGUUUCCCUCGACUCAAAUCAGUUUCCCAGUCCAUGAUACUAAAAGAAUCAUUGUUACAGCAUGAUGCUGCCACCACCAUGUUUGACAGUCUGGAUGCUGUUCCAUGGUGGCCAAAAAAUUACAUUUGGGUCUCAUCUGACCAGAGCACCUUCUCACCACUAACCAGAGGAGUCACCCACAUGGUUUUUGGCAAACCCAAAAUGUGCCUUCCUAUGUUUAACACUAAGUAAUGGCUUUUUUCUGGCCACUCUUGCAUACAGUAAAGCCCAGCUCUAUAGAGUGUAUGACUUAUUUUGGUCCUAUGGACAGAUACUCCAGGCUCUGCUGUGGAACUCUGCAACUCCUUCAGGGUUAUCUUUGGUCUCUGUGCUGCCUCUCCGAAUAAUGCUCUCCAUGCCUGGUGUGUGACUUUUGGUGGACAGCCCUCUCUUGGCAGGUUUGUUGAUACCAUCUGAUUUCCAUUUGAAGAUGAUGGUUUUGAUGGUGCCUCUAUGGGAACAUCAAAGAUUUGGAUAUUCGUUUAUAACCCCACCCUGACUUGUACUUUUCAACAGCUUUAUUCCUGGCUUGUUUGGAGAGCUCCUUGGUCUUCAUGGUGUGAUGCCCGUUGCUUAGUGGUGUUUCAGCCUCUGAGGGCCUUUUUAGAAAAGUGUCUGGGACUGGAUCGGGACAUUUCUUGAUAGGCAGCAGCCCUCCCCGCAACCCCCCAGGGACAAACCAGAAUAGACAAUAGGUGGAUGGAUGAUCUCACAGGUCAACUGAAGACAUGACACAAAUAAUACAUAAUCAACGGGAGCGAUGCAUUCAUGGAAAGUCUUUGUGAAAAUAAAUAACUUAGCAAAUUAUUUAUGUAAAUUGUUAAUUUACAUAAGUUGAGAAAUUCUUUUGAAGCCAUUUCUAAAUAACUUAAUUCCAAGAUCAGCUGUUUGAACAGCUGUAAAUAUGUGUUUGCAAAUGGGUGAGCACCUCUGAAUGAAGACCCAAUCUGUCGCCUUCAGAGAGAAUUUGUUUAAAUGUUAAGGAACAGCCAAGGGACUAAGAGUCAAACCUGCCAUGAACUUGACACUGCUGGAACACCUUUAUCCCUGUCCACAGUGAAGCAAGUGUUUACUCACCAUGGACUGAAAGGGUGCAUAGUAGGAAGGAAGCACCUGCUCUAAAAUAGAGAUGAUUGAGUGAAAUUUACAGCUGCUCACACAGACAACUGCUUUCUGAAAUAUUUGAUGGCGAGAUGAGAAAGAUUGAGCUACUUGGGCACAAGAACAAGAAUGUUUGGAAGAGUCAAUGGGAGGUUUUCAAACCCAAUAAUACCUGACCAGCUGUCAAGCAUAGUCAUGGUAGCAUCAUGCUGUGGGGUGGUUUAAUUACCGGUGGUAAACUGAAUUACACAAAGUAAAUGAAAUAAAGAAAAAUUUGUUUUCCAACUUCAUCUUAAAUUGACAGCUGGAUGGUUGAAAUUAUGAAACAUAGGUCGUUCCAACAGGACAAUUGUUUAUGAAUGGAAAAGCAAACUAACAUUAGGCUUCGUGAAUGGCAACUUCAACCCUAUUAAUGAUUUAUGAACCAAACAAUAAAAAAAAAAAAUCUGCAAUAAAGAUUAGUUAAAUAUCCAGUAA